UACGGAGGGUGCAAACGUUGCUCGGAAUCAUUGGGCGUAAAGCGCACGUAGGUGGUCCAGCAAGUCGGGUGUGAAAGCCCUCGGCUUAACCGAGGAAGUGCAUUCGAAACUACUGGACUUGAGUACUGAAGAGGGUCGCGGAAUUCCCGGUGUAGAGGUGAAAUUCGUAGAUAUCGGGAGGAACACCAGUGGCGAAGGCGGCGACCUGGGCAGAUACUGACACUGAGGUGCGAAAGCGUGGGGAGCAAACAGG
Molecule: ribosomal RNA, 253 nt
Filed under: uncultured bacterium
Lineage: Bacteria
Description: partial 16S ribosomal RNA
Rfam family: Bacterial small subunit ribosomal RNA
Source: RNAcentral